GGGAGGAAACUCGGUGUGCUGGUGACUGGAAACAUGAGUCCAGCUGAAAGGAGAAAGGGGACAGAUGCUUGUGGAAUACCAGCCCGGUACAAAUGUGCUUCCACUGUCUCCUCCACCUCUCACGAGAACCUGUGAGGUACAAUCGAUGCCUGGUGCCCCAGCAAAUCCUGACCCGGGUCUGCGUUGCCUCUCCACGGCUGGAACGCCGCCACGAGCCCACAGUCCAAAGGCCGCUGUGGAGCAGGCACGGCAUGAGGUGUUGUGUUGUUUGUUCCUAUGACCUUGCUUUGCUGGGGGGAGAGACGCUCACCAGAAGUUCACCCAGGUCCUGGGGAAGACUUCAAAGGUGGAAAGCGUUUUCAUUUCCCUGCAGGGCCUCGGCUCCAUCAGAUAGAGAAACUCUCUCUGACUCUCUUGGACCUCUUGCCCUGACUGGAAGUCUCUUCCAUUUCUUCUGCCUCAGGUCUUAGGUCUGGAAAUGAUUGCACAACUCCCUCACAAAUACAUCGUUGGGCAUCUGCACCCACUGCCCAAGAUCUUAGUAUUGCCUAGAUUUCUGGGCUGCUGUGUUGACAGCUGAGGUUGCGGGGUCAAGCAGAUUGGGGGUAGCUGGUAGUAAGGAAAUACUGGAUGUCUUAAUAAAAUACAACCCAGAAUUUCUAUGUCUAGUCAUGAGAGCAGAGUCUCUUGGUGGGGAGAGCUGGACCGUGUGGCUCCAACUUGGAGCUUGAGCCUGACUUCUCCCCAUGAGUCUCUCUUCAGCUACUCCUGCCUCCCACACGCUGCUCCCCCCUUGAUACAUCACCUUUGUCUCAUGAUCUGGACUUCUGGGACAAGACUAGCCCGCUCAAAUAGGUUUUAUCAAAACCUUAGGACAUACAAAUGAGAAAUGAACACAAAGAGUAAUAUGGAAGAGGGAAGUUGGCUCACAAGCCAGGGUUUAUUUUGUGACUCUCUCCAGAAGUCCCUCUCUCUGACUCCAGACCUCCCAGCUCCACAGGGUGGACACCACCUUGGCUCCCCCCACCAGGGAAGUUCAAGGUCAGCACAAUGAGGCUCAUGAAAAGAACUGGAUUUCCCCACUCCUGCCUGCCUAGGGCCUCAUGUAAUAAUUCAUUUUCUUACGUAAAGAAUCUCUUCUUCCCAGAGGGGAUUAGCCCUGGGAAUUACUUAUCAUUUCAAGGAAGUCUGGCUGUUGGGCUGUCCCUCUUCCCACUCCUAGGGAUUUCUGGAUUGGGAUCAAAUUCUAUUUCAACACCAUGACCCCAAGAUUCAUAUAGCAAAGAUUCAUAAAUCAAACACAAUGGUAAAACUUGGAUCCAGAUUUUAAUUCUUAAGUGGCCAAUAAAAUCUCCUGGGAUUCUUCCAGUCAUUAGUACUAUUCGCCAAAUGUUUGAGCUUCAUCUUCCGGCCACAUUGUAUGCUUUGAAGUUAGGUGUAGGCCUGUGUGGUGGUUUUAAAAUAUCCAUGUGUUUUUUGAUACUCUUCCCUUCUGGAGAUGAAGUUUAGCUUUGCCCAUAUGAUAUGGGCUAGAGUUAAUAACUCACUUAGAAUGAAUAGGAUAUUCUGGAAGUGAUAGUGUCUGACUUCUGAGACUAGGUCAUAAAAGGUUUUGUGGCUUCCCUCUUGGGCUCUCUCUUGACUUGCUCAUUCCAGGGGAAGCCGGCUGCCAUGUCAUGGGAACACUCAAGCAGCCCUUUAGAGAGGUCCACUGGCUAGGAACCAAGGCCUCCUGCCAACAACCAGUCCAAAGUUGCAGGCAUGUUAGUGAACCGCCCUGGAAGCAGAUCCCCCAGCCCCUGUCAGACCUCCAAAUGCCUGCAGCCCUGGCAUCUUCGCUGCAGCCUUGUGAGAGACCCUGGGCCAGAACCACCCAGCUAAGCCACUCCCAGAUUCCUGGCCCUCAGAAACUGUGUGACAGCAUAAGUGGUAAUUGCUCUCAGCCACUAAGUUUUGCGGUUAUUUGUUAUACAACAAUACAUAAUGAAUACACCUUAUGACUUGCUUUGGUCUAUGAAGAAUGGACCCAAGUAUCAUGUGUCAUUUCCAAGAAGAAGCCUUUACAACAAGGUACCGUCCACGGUGCUCUUUUUCUUGUCAGUUGCAGAUGGUGGCUGCCUCCUCAGCCGGACCUGGAGUGAGGAGUGUCUCUGGGUCAGGGUGCCAGCAGUGGAAAGAAGACACAGGCCAAAGGGGAGCUGAAUAGAGGUUAAUGAAGGGACCAUCCGCAGCAGUGUGGUCAGGCUUAGUAGAAACCGGGAAGGGGUGGUGAAACAUCUCAGGUUGGCAUUUUUACCCCUAAAGCCGAAGGGGCGGGGGAGGGAGCAGUUGCCAGAAUUUGGUGGGAGCUGUAGCUGUAGGAGAGGGCUCCUCAACAGGACUAUAGCCUUCUGUAGAGAAAUGCAGCCACUGCCAACCAACAGCCCUGCAAGGAGGGCUCUGGAGGAGUAAAUACCCAACCUUACCUCCUGCUGGUGCUUCCCACUGGCUAACCUGUGUAGUCUGAAAUAGCAGUUUUGCCAGUAUUUAAAUGACUCUUUAAAAAUGGUACCAAAGAGUUCAAUCUUUUAGCUCUUUUGGGAUGCAAUUUGUAGCUUACUCAUUUGAUGGUUCAUUGAGAGGAAAUUUUUCUUGAAAUAGCUGUACUGCUGAGGUCAUUCUGAGGUUCUUCUAUGGAAGAGGUGGCCAGCAUCUGUUUUAGAUACUUUCUCGCAAUGAAGUAUUUUCUUCCUUGUUAAACGGAGCUUUCCGAUGGCUACUGGCCUACCCAUGACCUGCACGCCAAGAGUCUUGCUCAUGGAGGUUGUGGCCUCCCAUUUUAGGAGGAUACAUCUUUUUCCAAUUGAUCUUGGGCCUUCCACCGUUCUGUAAACAUAGAUGAUGGUCCAGCCCAACCCUAAACGCAGCUAGAGGAUUUGCACAUCACCCCUCCCUGCAGAGUUGCUUUAGCUAACCUUAGGCUUUCAAGACCCAGGAAUCCUAGCCGGAAAAAGGGCCAACUGAACGGGACUGAGCUUACAGAAUAAAUGACUCAAUGUGCAAAGUGCUUAGAGCAUUCUUCCUCUCACAGAGGGCCUGUGCCAAGUUGGAGAUUUCAAACCGUUCCUUAGAGCCUUGUUACUGUAGCGAGGUAAGCCCCACCAAGUGUCCACUACCCAAGCAUCUUCUCCCUGGGCCUUCAGGUAGGUCGUGAUCAAUCAUGAUUCUACAGAUUAAAAUAUCUUUCCUGAGAAAUAAGUAUUAGCUCUUGCCUAAUGUCGUUGCUCUUGACGUUUGGACCUGUGUGGAACACUGGCUUUCUCUGCCGGCUGUACGGGAAGUCCAACUCAUAAAUAUUCACAAGGUAGUGUCAACUCGUAUUUGAACACCUGUCUGCCAGAGCUAUGCAGACCCUCCUCUCGAUACCUUAGACUAAUAGAUGAUGUUCUGUUCUAAGACAUUUAAUACUGGACAGAAGCAGUUUACUAAUCUAGACCCUGGAAGUACUGUCCCAACAUCAAAUUAAAAUCAUAGCAUGUCUGUGGGAGGAGUGAGGUCCGAGGCGGCUUGCCAAGGGAUACUCAAGUAGGAUAAAUACAGCCCAUCUUCCUGGAGCACCAAUUUUGUUAGAAGUUUUAAGGGGGAAACACAUUUUUAUGUAUAACACAUUAUGAAACAGACUGUAAAAUUCACAUGGCUUUUAAAUAUAAAUUGCAAAUCUUCGAAGAAAUUUUAGCUUACAGCUGGCCUUUUUGGGCUACAACCUCUCCUCACCCACCCCCAGCUCGUAUUCACGUGAGGGGGCUUUCACAGCAGAGCUGGAGCAGCAUGGGAUCUGAAAGUGCCUUGCUGGUGGCAGAGCUCCACCAAUGAGAGGAAGACAGAAAUAUGACCAGGAGACAGAGACCCAGACCCCACCUUUCAGCUCUUUGCAUAAAAACCUUCCCCAGGUUAGGAGCAGGUACCUUGCUGGGGGCUUUUAUGGCAAGUUCAUAGAGAGCCAUCCAGGCAAAUGAGCUUAAUAGGAUUUCUUUAUAAAAUGUUUAAAGAUAGUAAGGGGUCUGAGCACCCAAUUCAGAUGUGCGGAGGGGGGUUUUUCCCCACACCAGCAAGCCAUUCUCCGACACCAGCUGUGUCCUACAGUUCAACUCAAUUCUGACACUAUCCACCCAGAGAUAGUGUCAGAUCCCACAGGUUAAAGGCUCAGUCCUACAAGACUGUCCCUACCGCGCCACCCCCGACUUCAGACUGGCUUCUGACCGACUGGCUAGACAUGGGAGGUUCCAGUGACCCCCUCCUUGGAUUCAAUUAAUGUGCUAGAGCGGCUCACAGAACCCAGAGAAACAUUUUGCUUACAGAUUACCCAUUUAUUAUGAAAGGCUAUAACUCAGGAAAGGAACAGCCAGAUGGAAGUGACGCAUAGAGCAAGGUAUGGGGGAGGGGAGCCCAGCUUCCAUGCCUCUCCAGGAGUGUCAGUCUCUCCAAAGCUCCAUGUGUUCACUAACCUGGAAGCUCACUGAAGCCCCUCCUUUUGAAUGUUUAUGGAGGCUGCAUUACAUAGGUAUGACUGAUCCAAUCAUUGGCCAUUGAUGACUGAACUCAGUCUCCAGCCCUCUCCCCUCCCCGGAGAUCACGGGUGGGACUGUUCCAACCCUCUAAUCACGCGGUCGGCUUCCUUGGUGACCGGCCCCCUCCUAUCUUUAGGGCGUUUCCAAAAGUCACCUCAUUAACAUAAACCAGUUGUGAUUGAAGGGAGUUUGUUAUGAAUAACAAGACACCCAUUUCACCUUUAUGGCUCUGAAGCGAUUUCAGGAACUGAAGACAAGAGACCAAAUACUAUAACAAAAGAUGCUGCCAUUGCUCUUAUAGCUCAGGAAAUUCCAAUGGUUUUAGGAAUUCCAUGCCAGAAACUAGACAAAAACCAAAUGUAUACUAUUUCUUAUGAAUCACAGUAUCACAGAUAGUCUUCAGUGUCCCUCAGUACCCUUUAUACGAGGAUUCAUGUAAUAAAUUCCUGCUUGAUUUUAGACCUCAGAAAAAGCUACCUCCACAGAAGAAUGUUAGAAUUCUUUGUCUUAUUGGACAAUGAAAAUUAUGUAACUUACUGUGUUUCUUUCUGCUUCUUUGCCAGACAUCUUAGAGCCAAAUUUCCUAGGUCUUGUAAUGUGUUCGACUCUGAUGCCAGAAAAUGCUACCCCUUCUGCCUCCUUCAGAUGGACUCUGAGCUGCUCCAUCCCUGUAUGUCAAGUCUUGUUCUGUGUCGUAAACAGUCAGCAAACUCGGGGAGCAAACAGGGUACAAAUUAUAAUGUGAAUUUUUUCAAUCAGCUUUUAAAAGGUUGUGAUCAAUUUACAAACAAAAUUCAGAUACAAGACAAAAACUUUUAACACGGACCAGAGGACAAGUCAAACACUAGAGAGGGACAGCUAUGGAUAUUAUUUUUUAAAAAGAGAAAACCUAUACAAAUUUGGAUUGUUUUGCUAUGAUAAAUAAUGCUGCAAUGAAUACCUAUGUGCAAUUCUCAUAAUGUAUGUGCAAGGUAUAUUUUUAGAAGUGAAAUUAUUGCCCAUAUGGUGUAACUAUUUUCAAGGGCAAACUAAUUUGCUAUCUCUAUUAUGAUGCUUUGGGUCACAAGAGAUGCAGUAUAGCACAGCAGCUGCGAGUGCAGACUCUGAAUGGCCUGGGUUCGAAUUCAGGUUCCACUACUGAGUAGAAUUAAAAGCAGGCUGUUAACCCUCCGGUUCACUUCAGGAGAUAAUGAUAAACACAAUGGUCUACCCAGCAAAAAAUAGAAUAGAAAAGAAAGAGCAAUGGAACAUAAAAAUAAGAAAGCAUAAAACAAAAUGAAAGAAGAAAACCCAAAUAAAACCAUUGUGAAAAUAAAUGUAGAUGAAUUCAACUUGUCUUGAGUAAAAGACAGUGUUGCUCAAAUUGGGUCAAAAGUCAAAGGAGAGAUCCAUUGACUGUUUCCUCACCUUCAGCUAAAUCUUUACUCUGAAAUCUGGUCAUCCUGCCCAACUCACCACUGUCGCUUCUCUUGUCACGUCCUAUAGAUGGUCACUAAAUCCAGUGGAUUCUUUUCAGCUCUUGUCUUUCUUAACCUCUCCGAAAUAUUUGAUGCUGUUAGCCACACUUCCUCAUAACACAGCUCUUUCCUCAGCUUCUAUAAAGCUGCAUGUUUUCUGGUUUUCUUCCUUUCUCUCUGGCUGCUCCCUCUCAGUGUCUUUUUCCUUCGCCCAUCCCUUAAGCGUUGGUGCUGUUCCUCAGCGGGCUGCCCCAGGUGCUGUUCUUUCUCCCUCUAUAUAGUUUUUCUAUAAGAUCUCAGGCACUCCCAAAGCUUUGAUGACAACCCAUACACCGAUGGAUCCCAAAUCUGGAAUCCCAGUCCAGGUCUCAGGAGAGAUCCUGAACUCCAGAUCUGUGUAUCCAACUGCAUAUUGGAUAUUUCCAUUUAGGAACUUUGUAGGAACCUCAAACUCAACAGUACCCAACUGAACUCAUAAUUUCUCUCUUCUCUUUCUCCCGUUACUAGUAAAGGGCACCCCCUGGUUGCUAAAGUCAGAAACCUGGGAUCUAGCUUUGAAACCCCUCUCCCUUACCGCCCACAUCAAAUGAAUCAGCCUCCCGUAAGUCUUUUCUGAGUCCAUUGGCUUCCUUGCAUGCUCACUGACAACACCCUCUUCUGUCCCACCACCGUUUCUUGCCUGGGCUUUUGAACAGCUUCCUAAAUGGCCUCUCUGCCUUUAGUCAUGCUGUGCUACAAUCCAGUGUCCACUGUGCUCCAGAGUGUGUCUUCUAUAGAAAAAAAUUGACUAUGAUACACCCAUGUUUAACAUCCUUCCGUGACAAGGCCCUUCGGGACCUGCCAUUGAGUAUGCCUUGCUCUUCUCAUAUUCAGGCCUUUGCACAUGCUCUUCUGUUUCCCUGAAACAUUAUUUGCAAUUCUUUUCUUAGCUUACCUCUUCUCAUUCUUCAGUUCUCAGAUCAAAUGUCACUUUCUCAGGAAAAUCUAAAAUAGGUUAGGCUUCCUGGCCAUGUGUUUCCUUCUCAUCAUACAAUUUUUCUAUCAUUUAUCACAAAAGUGUUGAAAUUUCUUACUUAAUUCUCCUGUUUCUCUGUUGUACUGCAAGGUCCAUGAAGACGGGAACUGUGUCCAUCUUUUUCACCGCCUCGCACCCCAGCACCUAGCACCAUGUCCAGUAAUCAUUAGAUGCUCGAUAAAUAGUUGGUGAAUACAUGGACAGAGCUUGUUUUCAUCCUGCGGCUGUCUGCUCGUGUUUUGUGAAAGACGUCUCUCCUUCCACCCUAUUUAGGAUGCUGAAUGACGUCCCGGCACUUUCUUCCUGCAGUGAUC
This is a long non-coding RNA of Equus quagga, 7333 nucleotides long. RefSeq lists it as uncharacterized. NCBI's taxonomy places the organism in Eukaryota, Metazoa, Chordata, Mammalia, Perissodactyla, Equidae. The record is from RefSeq and is a predicted model, not a curated record. The transcript is spliced from 3 exons.